Molecule: transfer RNA, 76 nt
Filed under: Naegleria fowleri
Lineage: Eukaryota; Heterolobosea; Eutetramitea; Acrasida; Naegleriidae
Description: tRNA-Pro
Rfam family: tRNA
About the family: Transfer RNA (tRNA) molecules are approximately 80 nucleotides in length.
Source: RNAcentral
CAGUAAGUAGCUCAAGUGGUGGAGCAUCUGGUUUGGGACCGGAAGGUUAUGAGUUCAAGUCUCAUCUUACUGAUCU